GAUGAACGCUGGCGGCGUGCCUAAUACAUGCAAGUCGAGCGAACAGACGAGAAGCUUGCUUCUCUGAUGUUAGCGGCGGACGGGUGAGUAACACGUGGAUAACCUACCUAUAAGACUGGGAUAACUUCGGGAAACCGGAGCUAAUACCGGAUAAUAUUUUGAACCGCAUGGUUCAAAAGUGAAAGACGGUCUUGCUGUCACUUAUAGAUGGAUCCGCGCUGCAUUAGCUAGUUGGUAAGGUAACGGCUUACCAAGGCAACGAUGCCUAGCCGACCUGAGAGGGUGAUCGGCCACACUGGAACUGAGACACGGUCCAGACUCCUACGGGAGGCAGCAGUAGGGAAUCUUCCGCAAUGGGCGAAAGCCUGACGGAGCAACGCCGCGUGAGUGAUGAAGGUCUUCGGAUCGUAAAACUCUGUUAUUAGGGAAGAACAAAUGUGUAAGUAACUGUGCACAUCUUGACGGUACCUAAUCAGAAAGCCACGGCUAACUACGUG
Molecule: ribosomal RNA, 497 nt
Filed under: uncultured bacterium
Lineage: Bacteria
Description: partial 16S ribosomal RNA
Rfam family: Bacterial small subunit ribosomal RNA
Source: RNAcentral